This 163-nucleotide ribosomal RNA is filed under the name Moutabea cf. chodatiana Tavares 294. Its description in RNAcentral is "5.8S ribosomal RNA". It matches the Rfam family "5.8S ribosomal RNA". Rfam says of the family: 5.8S ribosomal RNA (5.8S rRNA) is a component of the large subunit of the eukaryotic ribosome. It is transcribed by RNA polymerase I as part of the 45S precursor that also contains 18S and 28S rRNA. Lineage: Eukaryota; Viridiplantae; Streptophyta; Magnoliopsida; Fabales; Polygalaceae. The record is from RNAcentral.
GAAUGACUCUCGGCAACGGAUAUCUCGGCUCUCGCAUCGAUGAAGAACGUAGCGAAAUGCGAUACUUGGUGUGAAUUGCAGAAUCCCGUGAACCAUCGAGUCUUUGAACGCAAGUUGCGCCCGACGCCUUAGGGCCGAGGGCACGUCUGCCUGGGUGUCACGC